This is a long non-coding RNA of Mirounga angustirostris (Northern elephant seal), 1665 nucleotides long. RefSeq lists it as uncharacterized. The transcript is spliced from 3 exons. The record is from RefSeq and is a predicted model, not a curated record. Lineage: Eukaryota; Metazoa; Chordata; Mammalia; Carnivora; Phocidae.
AGAAAGACGACGAGGUUCCAGGGCCCACGGUGGGCCCACCUGUUGCGCGGGGGUGGGCACCUGAUGCCGGGUGUAUAGGGGCCGUGCGUGCCUGUGUGCGUGCGUGGGUGUGCGCGCACGUGUGUUCAGGCCGCGUGUUCUGGGGCCAGGCGUACGUGUGUGUGCGGUGCGCGCGCGUGUGCCCCGCGUGUGCACGGGCGUGGCGGCGGCGGGCGCGCGACCCGGCCGCGGUAGUGCGUGCCCGUCGCUCUGCGCGCCCGCCCGCCAGCCGGAGCGCAGCAUCGCCUCCGGCCAAGAGUGUGCAUGCGUGGGGGUUGCUGUGAGGACUGGACGUGAGAGUGGUUGCCGAGGUGCCCACCGGUACCUGGCGCGGCGCGGUUGCUCAGCACACAGCUCGGCCACUACCUGUUCACUGUUGUCGAGCUCCACACCGUUGCUCCGGAGAGUGUGGUCCGCCGACCAGCCGCUCCUGCACCUGGGGGCUUGUCAGGAGUGCCCAGUGCCAGGCCCGCCCCAGACCUGCCAGGUCAGCAUCCGCAUUUGAAGAAGACUCCCAGCGGCCCGUGGGCACAGCAGUUUGAGAAGCACUGAUCUAAAGGAAUUCCACGCCUGUAUCGGGAACAGCUCUGUUGCCACAUGGGCCUGGAAAGAAGGCCUGAGGAGGAUCGAGGGACCCAGCAGGGCGGAGGCGACCAUGACAGGUCUGGCCCAAGAAAGGUCAAGGGGGGGCCACGCUGAUAACUGGCUUUGAGGGGAAUUGGCAGCACCAGAGGAGCGUCUGGCUAAAGCAGACGAGGCAAGGUUUCCUGCUGGAGCCGCUAGCUAGAGGCUGAGAUGCCCCCACAGCAUGGCAGGGGGAGGGACGUGCUCGCGGGCACUGGGCCCAUGGGUGUGCACACACGUACACACGCGAGGAGGGCAGCCCGGGCCGGGACAGAUGGCGCAGGGUCGACAGCCGCCACAAGGCCCAGCCGCUCACCGUCUUGCUUCUGUCGUCUCUGUGGACGAGAGCCUCCCGGGACUGCCCAGUGGAGUGAACAUGGCUGGCGAGACGUGGGCCGGGGAAGCUCCCGUCCACGGAGCCCACCCCUGGGAGAGGCAUGGCUCGCGUGGAAUCCCAACCUUGGGACAUGGCUGGUACCUGCUCCCCCUUACAAACAAGGAAGCGGAGGCGUGAAGAGGCUGAGCAAUUUGGUCACGUCACCCAGUGACAGCACCCAGAUUCUAUCUACUUUUUCAGUCUGUGACAGGUGGCAUUUUCCAGAGAGAACCACAGCAGUAUCUCCCAUCCCACACGCUCUUCGCGGUGCGCUGCCGAUGCUCCUCCUGUGUUCCUCUUCUUAAAUCCAGAUAGACUUGGGGGCGCCUGGGUGGCUCAGUUGGUUAAGCGACUGCCUUCGGCUCAGGUCAUGAUCCUGGAGUCCCGGGAUCGAGUCCCGCAUCGGGCUCCCUGCUCGGCGGGGAGUCUGCCUCUCCCUCUGACCCUCCCCCCCUCUCAUGUGCUCUCUCUCUCUCUCUCAUUCUCUCUCUCAAAUAAAUAAAUAAAAUCUUAAAAAAAAAAAAAUCCAGAUAGACUUGAGUUUGCAAAAGCGAUGCUCUGUGGCUUCCGAGCUAGGUCAGGAAAUGCAGUGUAGCUUCCACUUGGUUCUCUCGGGACUCUCCCCU